Hypanus sabinus (Atlantic stingray) is the source of this 8134-nucleotide long non-coding RNA. RefSeq lists it as uncharacterized. The transcript is spliced from 4 exons. NCBI's taxonomy places the organism in Eukaryota, Metazoa, Chordata, Chondrichthyes, Myliobatiformes, Dasyatidae. The record is from RefSeq and is a predicted model, not a curated record.
UGAAAAUGAUGUUUCCCAUGCUGGGAGAGUCUAGGACAAGAGGGCACGGCCUAGGAUAGAGGGGUGCCCUUUCAAAACAGAGAUGCAGAGGAAUUUCUUUAGACAAAGUGUGGUGAAUUUGUGGAAUUUGUUGCUAGAUGCAGCUGUGGAGGCCAGGUCAUUGGGUAUACUUAAGGCAGAGAUUGGGCCUAGCAUCAGAGGUUACAGGGAGAAGGCCGGGAACUGGGGUUGAGGAGGAGAUAAAAAAAGGAUCAGCCAUGAUUGAAUGGUGGAGCAGACUCGAUGGGCCAGAUGACUUAAUUCUGCUCCUAUGUCUUAUGGUCUUAUGGCCUUAAUGACUGAAGCAAUUGAGGAAUGUUUUCCCAAGGACAUUAGGUUACUGGCCUUCUAUGAGACAAUGGCUGGAUGUGCAAGCUGGUCUAUAUGAUACUAACUGGACCUUCCCUGAAACUGAGUUCAUCCAUCAAGCUGCAGUCUUUGUUCUUGAUAAGAUUGGUCCUCAUGUGCUUUGCCUUUGUUGACCGUGAGCCCUCUCAGCUUCCUAGAUCUGGGAUCUUUUCAAGCUGCUCCUGUUGGUCUCUGACAUGUGCAAGGGUUUGCUACACACUGCUGUCGUACUGAGGUCGUGCAAACUGCAUAAUCACAGAGAGACAUCUUUGCACACUUCUCCUUCAGCCGACAGGAGUACAGUGAGCUCCAGCUAUGGGCAGGCAUUCAUAGCCUUGGAGAGAGCUUCCAAGUGUCUUCUGACAAAAGGCACUAGUCUAGGAUCUUGGCCCCCAGUCACCUAAAGACAAGGUUUGUCAGGUUUCUCAUCACCCUGCAAAUACUCUCCUACAAUCUUCCAUUCUUUCAGCAUCCAUUCAUUCAAUAGCAAUGUUCAUCUGUGUUUAAAUGUGUGUUCUGGUAAACAACAGUACUAAUAGCAUCCAUUUGAAAUAUGAGAGGAUCCUGCCAUGUUACUGUUGAUGGGGAGGACUGUGAGAGUUGAAAUCAACACUUUUACCCGGGUACUCCUCCCAAUAUUUUCAAGGAAGAUGUUGGUGAAAUAUGUACUAUGGUAUCUUUUUUUUACGUGUAGACUUAAUUUAUCCCCUUUGUUUUGAGUAACACAGAAUGUGUGUCCCUGGUGUGGAGCCUUCUAUUCUGAAUGAGGAAACUGCAGGUGUCCUCUCAUCAUCAUCUGACUGUUGGAGACUUCCUGAUAGAUGAAGGUACAGGAAGAUUCCUGCAGCAUGGUGUGUACAUUGAUUCCCGACUUCUGAAAUUUAUCUUCCUGAUAUUCCUAAGCACCAAGAGACCUUAUCCUACCCAUGCCGAUCUUAUAACUAGUUCCACUUCAUGUAUUAAACUGCCUUUCAGGUAUCUACUAAUGAGCUAUGUUUUUUAAAGCCAUCCUCUCUCAUUCAAAAUAGUCAAAUGCAACACCUUCUUAAUCAGAUCUGUGAAAAAAUGUGAAGAUGCUACCCCAGGCUUCGGAAGGCAGACUUCAGUGUGUGCCCUCCUCUAUGAGCAAUAUUAAACAUUUUCUUACUCUUGUGCAGGUUUAAAAGACUGAGGGAGAAACAGUGAUUAGUAAGUGACUGACAGCCUGCGAUGGAUUACAGGAAUGUGAUGCUUCAUUUCUCCAUUGAUUGCUGCACAGAGGGAGGAUAAUAUGAAACAACCAAGCUAAUCAAUGGCUCAAGUCCUCCAGCAUAGGGCAGGAGGCAUCAAUGGAGAAGAAAAGAGACAGGAACAACUGGGGACAAAAGUAAUCCUGAAAUAGACCCAAGACAUUGACGAUCUCUUUACCUGCUCGAUGCUGCCUGACCCACGGAAUUCCUCCAGUGCUUUGGUUUUCUUGAACUCCAGAUUACAUCAUGUGCAGUCUGUUGUGUCUUGUCUGAUUGCCCGCCAUCUCCUGCAUUAGGGAUAACUUACAGUCAACUAGUCUACCAGCAUAUGCUUACAAAAGGUUCAGGGAGCUAGAAGAUUAUAAGACUAACAGGAAGGAGCUUAAGAAGGAAAUUAGGAGAGCCAGAAGGGGCCAUGAGAAGGCAGGGAGGAUUAAAGAAAACCCAAAGGCAUUCUACAAGUAUACGAAGAGCAAGAAGAUAAGACAUGAAAGAAUAGGAAAGUGUGUACGGAACCGGAGGAAACAGCAAAGGUACUUAAUGAAUACUUUACUUCAGUAUUCACUAUGGAAAAGGGUUUUGGUGAUUGUCGUGAUGACUUGCAGCAGACUGAAAAGCUUGAGCAUGUCGAUAUUAAUAAAGAGGAUGUGCUGGAGCUUUUGGAAAGCAUCAAAUUGGAUAAGUUGCCUGGACUGAAUGAGAUGUACCCCAGGCCACUGUGCGAGGUGAGGGAGGAGAUUGCUGAGCCUCUGGUGAUGAUCUUUGCAUCAUCAAUAAGGACUGGACAGGUUCUGAGGGAUUGGAGGGUUGCAGAUGUUGUUCCCUUAUUCAAGAAAGGGAGUAGGGAUAGCCCAGGAAAUUAUAGACCAGUGAGUCUUACUUCAGUGGUUGGUAAGUUGAUGGAGAAGAUCCUGAGAGGCAGGAUUUAUGAACAUUUGCAGAGGUAUAAUAUGAUUGGGAAUAAUCAGCAUGGCUUUGUCAAGGGCAGGCUGUGCCUUACGAGCCUGACUGAAUUUUUUGAGGAUGUGACUAAACACAUUGAUGAAGGAAGAGCAGUAGAUGUAGUGUAUAUGGAUUUCAGCAAGGCAUUUGAUAAGGUACCCCAUGCAAGGCUUAUUGAGAAAGUAAGGAGGCAUGGGAUCCAAGGGGACAUUGCUUUGUGGAUCCAGAACUGGCUUGCCCACAGAAGGCAAAGUGUGGUUGUAGAUGGGACAUAUUCUGCAUGGAGGUCGGUGACCAGUGGUGUGCCUCAGGGAUCUGUUCUGGGACCUUCACUAUUCGUGAUUUUUAUAAAUGAUCUGGAUGAGGUGGUGGAGGGAUAGGUUAGUAAGUUUGCUGAUGACACAAAGGUUGGAGGUGUUGUGGAUAGUGUGGAGGGCUGUCAGAGGUUACAGUGGGACAUUGAUAGGAUGCAAACCUGGGCUGAGAAGUAGCAGAUGGAGUUCAACCCUGAUAAGUGUGAAGUGGUUCAUUUUGGUAGGUCAAAUAUGAUGGCAGAAUAUAGUAUUAAUGUUAAGAUUCUUGGCAGUGUGCAGGAUCAGAGGGAUCUUGGGGUCCGAGUCCAUAAGACACUCAAAGCAGCUGUGCAGGUUGACUCUGUGGUUAAGAAGGCAUACGGUGUAUUGGCCUUCAUCAAUCGUGCAAUUGAAUUUAGGAGCCGAGAGGUAAUAUUGCAGCUAUAUAGGACCCUGGUCAGACCCCAGCUCAGAUCUGUUCGCCUCACUACAGGAAGGAUGUGGAAGCCAUAGAAAGGGCGCAGAAGAGAUUUACAAGGAUGUUGCUUGGAUUGGGGAGCAUGCCUUAUGAAAACAGGUUGAGUGAACUCGGCCUUUUCUCCUUGGAGCGAUGAGGAUGAGAGGUGACCUGAUAGAGGUAUAUAAGAUGAUGAGAGGCAUUGAUUGUGUGGAUAGUCAGAGACUUUUUCCCGGGGCUGAAAUGGCUACCACAAGAGGGCACAGGUAUAAGGUACUGGGAGUAGGUACAGAGGAGAUGUCAGGGUUAAGUUUUUUACACAGAGAGUGGUGAGUGCGUGGAAUGGGCAGCCGGCAACGGUGCUGGAGGUGGAUACGAUAGGGUAUUUUAAGAGACUUUUGAAUAGGUACAUGGAGCUUAGAAAAAUAGAGGGUUAUGGGUGACCCUAGGUAAUUUCUAAUGUAGGGACAUGUUCGGCACAACUUCAUGGGAUGUAGGGCCUGUAUUGUGUUGUAGGUUUUCUAUGUUUCUACGUUUCUAUAUCUUUAGAAUAAAACACACACCUUCAUGGGUAAAUAUGCAUACACCCCACAGAAAGCACUGGAGCCAGGAUCAGUUGUAACUAUGAGAUAGCAACUCUAGCGACUGUACCUGUAUUUCCUAAUUUAUUAGUUAAUUUGCAGUGUCCUAGAACUAUAAAAGCACUGUACAAUGAUCUUUCUCGUGUGGUCUUACUGUGCAACAGAAUGAACAGAAAGCAGGCUCCCCCUGCCACAAUGUGCAGAUUUGUAAUUUGCUGGGGUGUUGAAGGCUGACUGGAAGGAGCCCAAAAUGCUCCGACAAAUGUUGCCUGCACACACUGCAGGGCUGAGAUUUAGCAGAUUCAAAAUUUCUGUUGUAAAGACUAAUGUUUAAAAUCAAUGUGUCAAUGCACUGACAAGUAGAUGGGAAUCUUUGUGCUGCAAGGCUGUAGAAAUCCUAAUCCAUUUUAGUCAAUCAGCUUCAUUAAGAGUGAUUGGAAUAACAUCUCACUGAAAUGAACACUCGGUGAGUGCUGGGCAUGAUAGAAGCACUCAGAGAAUCUUGAUGCUUUUUUCCAUUACUACCAUUAGGGAGGAAGUACAGGAGCCUGAAGACCCACACUCAAUGCUUUGGAAUCUUCUUCUUUCCCUCUACCAUCAGAUUUCUCAAUGAUCCAUGAACCCAUGAACACAACCUCACUAUUCCUCUUUGGCGCUGUUUAUUAAUUGCUUUUUUCAUCAUAACAUACAGUAAGUUUUUAGGCCUUGCACUGUAUAGCCACUACAAAAUAACAACUUGCACCACAUAAUUCAGUGAUAAUAAAUCUGACUCUGAUUAUGAUUUUGUUUGAGGACAGGGGUUGUUUCCCAAGAUGACAGUGACUCGCUCUCUUUCACGGUGCACCUGAAGGAACAAUUCUGCUGUUCCUGGUCCAUUUCCGUUUCUGCCCCAUACCCUUCACUGAACUGCGUGUGUGAAGAGGACUCUUCUCCCAGCUCAAAGGGUUGAAGCCCGAUGUAUACACAUUCACGAGGCUUUUGAGAGUGCUCAGCUGUAGAAGAAAAUAAUGGCCGCCAGACGGCCUCAGUGAAAGUUCUAAUUUCCUCUUUCUGGAAGAAGGAGGCUAAUCCACUCUCAUGCUGUCUUUAUAGUUAAAGUUAUCUAGUCAAACUCCAUUUUUUAAGUUAAUUUCAUACUGCACUUUCUGAAAUGCUUAUUCCAUUUCCUUUAAAAUGACUAAAUCCCAGUCCAUCAGAAGGAAGAAUGGAGACACUUCCCUCAGAGGUAGCUGCUUUGAGGAGAUUGUAUUGAGGAGAGCAGUAAUAUUUAGCAUUAUGUUGCAGUCAUCUUUUUGGAGGCUUCCUGUCACAACUGAAGGAUAGAGUACGUCACUAAUGUUAUCGUCUUCCCACAACGAGUUCCCUUAUCUGGCUUUUUAAUGUACACAGAUCACUUGAAGACUUUGUCAUUCAGUCAGCUGGUACAUUUAAGGUUUCUUCAACACAAUAUUUGGAGCUCCACAGGCAGAUUUCUGAAUUAUGCAUGUUUCAUCCCAUUUGAUGAUGAGUAUUAACAUACGCCAUUUCGAUUGGUUCAUUAGCUGUUUCCAGAAUCUUCUUAUUAUUCACAUUUAUAUAUUCCAACAGAUUUUUAUACCAAGACAAAAGGAGCCCAGAACAGUUUGUGCACUCAGAAGGCUUGCUAGAGCUGCGUAGGAUGCAACAGCCCUUAGCAAUGUUGUGUAAGCUUCCUGCUACUCUAGGUUUUGUGUAUAAAAGGACAGGCACCGUAUACUUAAACACACACACAGCUUUACCUCCAUGACUAUCACUAUGGCACGGCUGGUGGAGGAUAUAAAGUAGGCCACAGCUCACAGGUUGAUGAUAAAAUGGAGAAUGGGCUGAAGUGGGAAUGUAGAGGGCUUGUUGUGAUGUAGAGGGGUUGAACUAGGUGUAUGAGCCAUUGGGUGAGGCAGCGUUAGGGAAAGGGGAUCAGGAACAACAUUGGACUUGCAGUCAGGUAGUGAUAUGAGUGUUGGGACACCAUCGGAUUUUGGGAGGAGAUGAGGGAGGGGAGUAUUCCCAGGUUUGGAGUUGAGGAAGAUUUGAGUGUUUAACUAGAUGACAUAGGUGGGUAUUACAGUCACAACUGCACGUUUGGCUGUUGCCCAGCUGGGCAGUUAGGCACAAACCAGGAGUUGGAACGUGUUGGAGAUGUGAUCAGACUGGGGUCCAGCAAAUGAUACAAUGAACAUGUGAGCUUGGAGCUAAAAGGCAUUGGCAGUGAAGCCACUUUCACACUGAGUAGCCCAAUCUGUCCAUAGCCCUUGAAUGUUGUACAAUUGAUGUCAAAAUUUAUGGAGGAUACUAACUUUUUAUGAUUGUAUUCUGGGCACUGUUUCCUUACUGUUGAUAUGUUUAUUUUGCAGUAUUAAUCUUCACUUAACUGUUGUUGUUUUUUGUUUGUAGUUGGUUUGUAGAAAUGCAUUAAAAAAUUAAUAAAAAAAGAUUUACAUUGCACAUCCUUCCACAUCACUGGCACUUUCUGUUUAGAGAUUUUUUAAAUUUAGAGUUUUUCUAAUUUAGAGAUUGGAUUUUAGACAGAAAUUUUGGGGCAAAUAAAAUAACGGUCUUGCAGUGUUUCUUGACACAAACUAAAAUUAUUACCAUAGGCAAGUGUGUCCGUCCAAAAGGACAUUGGGGAGGGUUGUCGAACAAAUGGACACAGAGGAUAAUAGGACAUAGUUACCUGAGACAGGAUGACGUGUGACAAGCUGGCCUUCAUCAGACAGGACACUGAGUACGGGAGUAGAGACAUUAUGUUGCAGUUAUAUAAGACAAUGAUGAGACCGCACACCAGGGAGGAUUGGAGUGCAAAGAAGAUUUACAAGAAUGUUGCAAAGGACUUAAGGGCCUAAAUUGUAGGAUGAGGUCUGGCAGGCUAGGAUUAUUCCGUGGAGUGUCAGAGUCCAAAGAAGACCCGGCAGAUGUGUAUAAAAAUAAGAUACUUGGGAAUCCACUCAAGAAAUAAGAAUCAAAAACUUGAACUUUCUCCCUUUUAAUAUAUCUCAAGAACCUCUUGGAAUUUUACCCUAAACUGCUUGCCAGGUUUUUCCUUUCCUUGUCCUGUGGAGUGGUGCGGGGUGGUGGUGGGGGGAGGCGUGGCUUAUUUUGAUUGUUGAAAGUCACUUCAGUCAAUGAUUGGUCAGUUUCAGAAACUGCAGCUGCUUUUCCUAUUAGUUAGCUGCCUGGCGACCAGUUUCUAAUAUCCUGGGUAUAAAAUAACACGUGGAGGAGACCUGCUCUGUCUUCCGUUUGUUUAAGGCAAGCGGAGCACAUCACCAUUGGGAAGAUCCAGAAUAAGGAUCAGCCAUGAUUGAAUGGCGGAGAAGACCUGAUGGGCCAGAUGACCUCAUUCUGCUCCUAUGAAUAAGUGAAGUUAAAUCAUGCCCAGUGUGUUUGGGAAUUCCAAAGAGAGUUAUUGGUACUCAAUUUUACACUAAACGGCUAUGGAAAUGGGGUCAUCCUUCAGGAUAGAGAGGAACUCCAGUUUGGUGGGUUCUCAGCUGGCCUAGGACUUCGACAUGGCAAUGGCAGACCCCUGCACAAGAUGGUGGAGUGGGGGGUUGGUGGUUGAUAGGAGAGUGAUUGGGUAAUCUGGGAGAUGUAAUGGGGAUAGGUUGGUAGAGGGGUUGGUCUUGUGGAUAUUGAGUGUAAGGUCCAUAUAGUUGUAUGCUUCAGUGAAUGAGUCAACAAAGACUUGCAAUGAGGCCUCUGAGUGAUCUGCAUACUACUGCUCAGUUACUGAGGUGUGAAUAACUUUAGUUCUGGAAUACAGUUGUUAUGGACUGAAUGCUUCUCCUUCAGCUCUGAAGAUUCCAUCCACCACUGCGUGACAUUUAUUGGAGUGAGAUGUAGCACUGAAUACGCAAGGGAAUCGGAGCAGAAUGUGCCGUCACAUUGAGAUGAUCACGGCCGAUCCGCACAAGCCUCAAGGCCUCUUAUGUAUGAGUUAUACAGAGCUCUCAAGAUCCUGAUCUUUCAAGAUUGUAGCUGUCUCCCUUUUUUAGGUGCCUCCUGUGAUCUAGUUGCUACAACAUAUUGGAGUAGAAAAUUGCCAAUAUUUGACACCCUCUGUAAGAUUUUCCGAUGUGCUUCUAUUGUAAGUGACCAGUCCAUUCUCUUGUAAUCAUGCCCUCCUUGGUCAAGAUUUCCUACAGGCGGAGGCACUGCAUUAUUCUCUGUCGUGCUUCAUGAGGAUCUUAUGUGUUUUGAAGAAAUGUUAGUCCUCUGAACAACAAAGAA